ACGGGUGAGUAAUGCCUAGGAAUCUGCCUGGUAGUGGGGGACAACGUUUCGAAAGGAACGCUAAUACCGCAUACGUCCUACGGGAGAAAGCAGGGGACCUUCGGGCCUUGCGCUAUCAGAUGAGCCUAGGUCGGAUUAGCUAGUUGGUGAGGUAAUGGCUCACCAAGGCGACGAUCCGUAACUGGUCUGAGAGGAUGAUCAGUCACACUGGAACUGAGACACGGUCCAGACUCCUACGGGAGGCAGCAGUGGGGAAUAUUGGACAAUGGGCGAAAGCCUGAUCCAGCCAUGCCGCGUGUGUGAAGAAGGUCUUCGGAUUGUAAAGCACUUUAAGUUGGGAGGAAGGGUUGUAGAUUAAUACUCUGCAAUUUUGACGUUACCGACAGAAUAAGCACCGGCUAACUCUGUGCCAGCAGCCGCGGUAAUACAGAGGGUGCAAGCGUUAAUCGGAAUUACUGGGCGUAAAGCGCGCGUAGGUGGUUCGUUAAGUUGGAUGUGAAAUCCCCGGGCUCAACCUGGGAACUGCAUCCCAAACUGGCGAGCUAGAGUAUGGUAGAGGGUGGUGGAUUUCCUGUGUAGCGGUG
Molecule: ribosomal RNA, 584 nt
Filed under: Pseudomonas sp. StFRB279
Lineage: Bacteria; Pseudomonadati; Pseudomonadota; Gammaproteobacteria; Pseudomonadales; Pseudomonadaceae
Description: bacterial SSU rRNA
Rfam family: Bacterial small subunit ribosomal RNA
Source: RNAcentral